GAUGAACGCUGGCUACAGGCUUAACACAUGCAAGUCGAGGGGAAACGACGGGGAAGCUUGCUUCCCCGGGCGUCGACCGGCGCACGGGUGAGUAACGCGUAUCCAACCUGCCUCUGACUGAGGGAUAACCCGUCGAAAGUCGGCCUAAUACCUCAUGGCAUCGUCUGCGGGCAUCCAACGCCGAUUAAAGAUUUCAUCGGUCAGGGAUGGGGAUGCGUCUGAUUAGCUUGUUGGCGGGGUAACGGCCCACCAAGGCUACGAACAGUAGGGGUUCUGAGAGGAAGGUCCCCCGCAUUGGAGCUGAGACACGGACCAAGCUCCUACGAGAGGCAGCAGUGAGGAAUAGUAGGCAGUGGGCGGGAGCCUGAACCAGCCAAGUAGCGUGCAAGAUGACGGCCCUAUGUGAAGUAAGCUGCUUUUAUGCGGGGAUAAAUUGAGGGACGUGUCCGUCAUUGCAGGUACCGCAUGAAUAAGGACCGGCUAAUUCCGUG
This 491-nucleotide ribosomal RNA is filed under the name uncultured bacterium. Its description in RNAcentral is "partial 16S ribosomal RNA". It matches the Rfam family "Bacterial small subunit ribosomal RNA", at positions 28 to 507 of the family's 1533-position model. The record is from RNAcentral.